Molecule: ribosomal RNA, 253 nt
Filed under: uncultured bacterium
Lineage: Bacteria
Description: partial 16S ribosomal RNA
Rfam family: Bacterial small subunit ribosomal RNA
Source: RNAcentral
UACGUAGGUGGCAAGCGUUAUUCGGAUUUAUUGGGCGUAAAGGGUUCGUAGGCGGUUCUGUAAGUCUGAUGUGAAAUCUCCGGGCUCAACCCGGAAACUGCAUUGGAUACUGCAGAACUAGAGUAUUGGAGAGGUAAGCGGAAUUCCUGGUGUAGCGGUGGAAUGCGUAGAUAUCAGGAGGAACACCGAUGGCGAAGGCAGCUUACUGGACAAUGACUGACGCUGAGGAACGAAAGCUAGGGUAGCAAACAGG